GACGAACGCUGGCGGCGUGCUUAACACAUGCAAGUCGAGCGGUAAGGCCCUUUCGGGGGUACGACGAGCGGCGAACGGGUGAGUAACACGUGGGUGACCUGCCCUCAGCUCUGGGAUAAGCCUGGGAAACUGGGUCUAAUACCGGAUAUGACUCCAUGACGCAUGUUGUGGGGUGGAAAGCCUUGUGCGGCUGAGGAUGGGCCCGCGGCCUAUCAGCUUGUUGGUGGGGUGANGGCCCUACCGAGGCGACGACUGGUAGCCGGCCUGAGAGGGCGACCGGCCACACUGGGACUGAGACACGGCCCACGACUCCUACGGGAGGGCAGCAGUGGGGAAGUCUUGCGCAAUGGGCGAAAGCCUGACGCAGCGACGCCGCGUGAGGGAUGACGGCCU
This 393-nucleotide ribosomal RNA is filed under the name uncultured bacterium. RNAcentral describes it as "bacterial SSU rRNA". It matches the Rfam family "Bacterial small subunit ribosomal RNA", at positions 28 to 417 of the family's 1533-position model. The record is from RNAcentral.